CUGCAGCUCUCUGAACAGUGGAGCCAAGUAAUAAAAGGGCAGCUUUGUCAGAUCUCAAAGUUGGAGAAUUGUGCUGAGAGGGAGUUGGCCUGGAUCCUUUGCCUUCAUGUAGUUCUUGGCAAAUGACAUGUGGCAAGUGGCAACCGAGAAAGAAUGCUCUCUGCAGCUGAUUCAGGAGAAUCUUCCUGAGACUUUGGACUACUCCAUCUUAGCCUUGUGCCAGGUUAACACCACUGCUGCUUUCUGCAAAAGGAGCCAAGCAAUAAAAGGGCAGCUUUGUCAGAUCUCAAAGUUGGAGAAUCGCCCUGAGAGGGAGUUGCCCUGGAUCCUUUGGCUUCAUGUAUAUGUGACAAACUACCCAGCUGAUGUUUUCACCUGAGAGAAAAAGGUAACUAAAAUAUCAC
This 404-nucleotide long non-coding RNA is filed under the name Equus caballus (horse). Its description in RNAcentral is "lncRNA (ENSECAG00000043109.2)". The record is from RNAcentral. Lineage: Eukaryota; Metazoa; Chordata; Mammalia; Perissodactyla; Equidae.